This is a non-coding RNA of Labrus bergylta (ballan wrasse), 408 nucleotides long. The record is from RefSeq and is a predicted model, not a curated record. NCBI's taxonomy places the organism in Eukaryota, Metazoa, Chordata, Actinopteri, Labriformes, Labridae.
AGAGCCUCUUAUGGAACUAAUUUACGUCAACAUCAACAAUGACAAUGCGGUGCAUGAGGACGUCGGAGAGGCCGAUCAAGCGUAUGACGACAUCCAAGAGGAGGACAGAGAGAGCGGACUUCCUCCUGUGGAAACAUCUACACUUUAAACUUUAUGUUGCAUUGAAUCCAGAGCAGUUUGUAGUUCAGUCUUUUGGGAAGAUUAUUUCAGUCAAACUCACGUUUAUAUAGCUUAAAAUGUUUACUGCUGCAGUUUGUGUUUGCGUCCGGGCUCCGACCUCAUCACUGCUAACAGUUUUAAUUUACAUGCAGAAAUCUGAGGAGUGAUGUGAUGAUAUUUUAAACACCCCUGUCAGAGCCAACAGGUGGAUGCUGGUGGUGGGGGUGCUGCUGAGCGAAAGUGCAGUAC